Molecule: long non-coding RNA, 2005 nt
Organism: Bombus terrestris (buff-tailed bumblebee)
Lineage: Eukaryota; Metazoa; Arthropoda; Insecta; Hymenoptera; Apidae
Exons: 3
Source: RefSeq, a predicted model, not a curated record
UUACAAAAAACGUUGGGAUAGAGACAAUAACGCCAUCCAGCAAUAAACAGUACACUUACGCGCUAGUGAACUCGUUAGACAGUUGUUUUUAAGCGGUCAGCCAAUAAAGUAUUCUUGUAAGAAACGCAACGGAAAUAAAGCGAUCAAAGAUUACAGAUGUACAAGUUCGAUUAAUCACUGUUCCAUCAGUUUUGCCAGCAAAAGAUAAAGAAUUAAGGACUAAAAGGAAAUGGGUAGAAAGGUGGUUAAUUGAGAGAAACAGAUUCUGAGUCCACGUUAUUAAAAGCAUUAGAAACGUAUGAACCGAACGACAAUAGAAAUUAUUUGCAUACGGAUAGCUCUGCUUUUCAACGUCUAUUGGAGACUCUACUGUAAACUACAUUCGGUAUCGGUGCCAUCCUCUACGCGUUGGAACCUGCCUCCCCAUCAGGCCUUGCUCACCAACUAAGACAAGAUACCGAACUACAUACAUUGUAACGUAAUAUCAUGAAACCUAAGCGUCGAUGCCAGACGAUUCCCUCAAUCGAGGGAAUACACGACGUCACGUUACUUCCCACUGCCACUCUACAGUACGUCGUUUGUGCCACAUGACAUGAGUUUCGUCUGGAUCGUUGUCUAUAGUAUGGCUCAUAACGUCACAAGUCCACUAACAGAGGGAACUUUUCCCUUAAUUCUCUCAAUUUGGUAACGCUGGAUGCGUGCAUCGCAACAUGUUUCAACGUAUACAGGCGUUUUAACAUGUAGCCUGCUCCCGCGUACGACAGCGGACAAAAGCAAGUUUAAAUACAAGUGGUACGAAAAAUAUCAUAAUUUCACGGAACGGAAUUGUAUUCGACGAAAGAAACGAAUAAAUAUAUAAGACGCGACUGUCAGCAAACGUAGCGGAAAAUAUCUGACACAAAGGUUCCUAAUACGUGCAUACAUACAGCAACAUAUUUCAACUUUCUUCUGUCCGCUACUAAAAAUAAGGAAGGAAUACCGGCUCAAAAAUUGUCACAUCUCGCACGAAUUGAUCGAUGGGACGAAAGCUACGCGUUUACGAAACUACGCUUUCCACUCUUUAAUAAUUAACUCCUCUGUAAUAUCCAGGAACGAUCGAUGUUUCGAAGGUUAGAAAAAGUUUAGCUGGUACGAGCAAAAAGUUUGCUCGCGAUCGGACAAAGACGAUUUUUGAGACGGAAUCCUCCGUAGUGUGCGCGUAAUAGGUGCUUUGGUACACUCAAGACGAAGAGAGAAUAUAUUAUAUGUAAAUCGAUCGUGGAAUCGAUCGAGCAAAUGUUCGCAAAUACGUAUUUGGUAACAGAAGUAUCUUUGGUCGAUUCGUUUGGCGAACGUAUGCACACCGUCGGUUAUUUUAAACCGCGGAAAGAAUCGUGCGACGACGCAUCAUCGGUGGACAUCCGGAAGGCGGCAGGAGGACGUCAAAAUGUACGGCCGCGUUCUCGUCGAAGGGUAAAAAGUAUCGUGGAUCGUACUUUGUCUCGUACGCAACGUCAUCGAUACGUAUAGUAAUAAGUUUCGUUUAGUAAUGACGAUAAGAACGAUAAUGGCGAUCGUACAAAAAAUAACGAUGUCGAUCAAUGGUAAUAAAUAGUAAGUACAACUUACGAAUAGACAUCGGUGUGUUGUGUGUUCCCAGGUUUUAAAUAUUUCAUAAAUCGUCGCGCCCCCAACCCCCCCUUCUCCCCGUGCUUUCAACCUCGCACUCGAUUUGCGCACAGCUCUCGUUUCUUUUAUCUUCUACUUUGUUUUCUUUAUUUUUUUUAUUUUUUUUUUUUCAUUAGCGUUAAAAUUUAAAAAAAUACAUAUAUAUCCUCAACCGAGUUAACCGCGUUAACCAUAACCGCGUAGAUCGCGGUCUCCUAACUAUUUUUACUUCGCUUCGCUCCUCCCUCCUUAUUUUUUCGUAUUUUCUUUUUUUUUCUCUUUUUUGUGUAACUUAUCAAACAACGCAUCCCGUCUGUGCACAUCACCCUAGUCAAAUUUAACUUGCACGAUAAACGUC